Molecule: ribosomal RNA, 840 nt
Filed under: Xanthoparmelia dierythra
Lineage: Eukaryota; Fungi; Ascomycota; Lecanoromycetes; Lecanorales; Parmeliaceae
Description: eukaryotic LSU rRNA
Rfam family: Eukaryotic large subunit ribosomal RNA
Source: RNAcentral
CAGUAACGGCGAGUGAAGCGGCAACAGCUCAAAUUUGAAAUCUGGCUCCUUUGGGGUCCGAAUUGUAAUUUGUAGAGAGUGCUUCGGGCGAGACCUCGGUCUAAGUCCAUUGGAACAUGGUGUCAUAGAGGGUGAGAAUCCCGUAUGCGACCGUGGCUCGAGCCCAUGUGAAGCCUCUUCGACGAGUCGAGUUGUUUGGGAAUGCAGCUCAAAACGGGUGGUAAAUUUCAUCUAAAGCUAAAUACUGGCUGGAGACCGAUAGCGCACAAGUAGAGUGAUCGAAAGAUGAAAAGCACUUUGGAAAGAGAGUCAAACAGUACGUGAAAUUGUUGAAAGGGAAGCGCUUGCAACCAGACCUGCCCGUAGGCGAUCAGCCGCUGUUCUCAGCGGUGCACUCGCUCCGCGAUCAGGCCAGCAUCGGUUUCGGCGGUCGGAUAAAGGCCUUGGGAAUGUAGCUUCCCCUCGGGGGAGUCUUAUAGCCCUCGGUGUAAUGCGGCCAGCCGGGACCGAGGACCGCGCUUCGGCUAGGAUGCUGGCGUAAUGGUUGUAAGCGACCCGUCUUGAAACACGGACCAAGGAGUCUAACAUCUAUGCGAGUGUUUGGGUGUCAAACCCAUACGCGGAAUGAAAGUGAACGGAGGUGAGAACCCUUAAGGGCGCAUCAUCGACCGAUCCAGAUGUCUUCGGAUGGAUUUGAGUAUGAGCAUAGCUGUUGGGACCCGAAAGAUGGUGAACUAUGCCUGAAUAGGGUGAAGCCAGAGGAAACUCUGGUGGAGGCUCGCAGCGGUUCUGACGUGCAAAUCGAUCGUCAAAUUUGGGUAUAGGGGCGAAAGACUAAUC